AUUGAACGCUGGCGGCAGGCCUAACACAUGCAAGUCGAGCGGAUGAAGGGAGCUUGCUCCUGGAUUCAGCGGCGGACGGGUGAGUAAUGCCUAGGAAUCUGCCUGGUAGUGGGGGAUAACGUCCGGAAACGGGCGCUAAUACCGCAUACGUCCUGAGGGAGAAAGUGGGGGAUCUUCGGACCUCACGCUAUCAGAUGAGCCUAGGUCGGAUUAGCUAGUUGGUGAGGUAAAGGCCUACCAAGGCGACGAUCCGUAACUGGUCUGAGAGGAUGAUCAGUCACACGGGAACUGAGAAACGGUCCAGACUCGUAGGGGAGGCAGCCGUAGGGAGUCUUGCGAAAUGGGCGAAGGCCUGACGGAGCAACGCCGCGGGAGUGAUGAAGGUCUUCGGAUCUUAAAACUCUGUUAUUAUGGAAGAAAAUAUGUGUAAGUAACUGUUCACAUCAUGAGGGAACCUAAUCAGAGGGGCACGACUGGCAACGAG
This 484-nucleotide ribosomal RNA is filed under the name uncultured bacterium. RNAcentral describes it as "partial 16S ribosomal RNA". It matches the Rfam family "Bacterial small subunit ribosomal RNA", at positions 30 to 507 of the family's 1533-position model. The record is from RNAcentral.